RNAcentral lists this ribosomal RNA (665 nucleotides) under uncultured bacterium. RNAcentral describes it as "bacterial SSU rRNA". It matches the Rfam family "Bacterial small subunit ribosomal RNA", at positions 143 to 804 of the family's 1533-position model. The record is from RNAcentral.
CCAGCCUUCUGAAAGGAAGAUUAAUCCAGGAUGGCAUCAUGAGUUCACAUGUCCGCAUGAUUAAAGGUAUUUUCCGGUAGACGAUGGGGAUGCGUUCCAUUAGAUAGUAGGCGGGGUAACGGCCCACCUAGUCAACGAUGGAUAGGGGUUCUGAGAGGAAGGUCCCCCACAUUGGAACUGAGACACGGUCCAAACUCCUACGGGAGGCAGCAGUGAGGAAUAUUGGUCAAUGGGCGAUGGCCUGAACCAGCCAAGUAGCGUGAAGGAUGACUGCCCUAUGGGUUGUAAACUUCUUUUAUAAAGGAAUAAAGUCGGGUAUGCAUACCCGUUUGCAUGUACUUUAUGAAUAAGGAUCGGCUAACUCCGUGCCAGCAGCCGCGGUAAUACGGAGGAUCCGAGCGUUAUCCGGAUUUAUUGGGUUUAAAGGGAGCGUAGAUGGAUGUUUAAGUCAGUUGUGAAAGUUUGCGGCUCAACCGUAAAAUUGCAGUUGAUACUGGAUGUCUUGAGUGCAGUUGAGGCAGGCGGAAUUCGUGGUGUAGCGGUGAAAUGCUUAGAUAUCACGAAGAACUCCGAUUGCGAAGGCAGCCUGCUAAGCUGCAACUGACAUUGAGGCUCGAAAGUGUGGGUAUCAAACAGGAUUAGAUACCCUGGUAGUCCACACGGUA